This 1873-nucleotide long non-coding RNA is filed under the name Marmota monax (woodchuck). Lineage: Eukaryota; Metazoa; Chordata; Mammalia; Rodentia; Sciuridae. The record is from RNAcentral.
CUGGGGUUACAGACCUGCACAAUCAUGCCUGGCUGAGAGAUACUUUUUAUUUCUUUUGCUUGACUUUAAUAUAAUUGAAAGGUCAUUUUCAAAGCCUAAAGACCCUUUGCUCAAUAAUUACAUGUCUGUUAUGGUUUGUAUAUAAUCUGUCCUUCAGAUGUUCCCGUGCUAAUGUAGGAAUAUUCAGAGGUGAGAUAAUUAGAUUAUGAGAGCUAUAACCUAAUCAGGCCAUCCUGGUGCCAUCCAUCAAGAGGUAUGCCCAGAAGGGCGCAUCAUCCCUGUGGCUCCUUCCCCACUUCCCCUUUCUUUGCUUUCUGGCCACUAUGAAUAGAGCUGUGCUCCUCCUUUAUGCCCUUCCAUCAAGAUUUUCUGCCUUACCUUGAUCCCAAAGGUACAGAAUUAGCCAACCCAUGGACUGAACCUCUGAAACCAUGAAUCAAAAUAAACUUUUUCCUCUUCUCUUCUUGUGAAGAAUUUUGGUUAUAGCAGUGCAAAGCUGGGAAUAACACAGCAUUCCUUUUUAUGAAAAAUAACCAAAAAGAAAAUUGAGCCUUGAUGUGACCUGUGGCUUCUCAACUGUAUAUGGGUGACAGUGAGGAGGAAAAGAGCCCAGAACAGAGAGGAGCUGCAACUCCCUGAGAUGACAGGUUCUUAAAUCAAUGCAUGGAGAUCAACUUAAAAUUGUUUCAGAACACUUCUUAAAAGGCUGCCUCAGUGGAGACCCAAAAAAGUAUCUCUUAGGCAAACCAACAUUCUGAAAAAUCCUCAUAGUUGAGAAUAUGGGUGGUUUCUUUGCUUGUUGUACUGCUUAAUUAUUGGACUCAUGUUUAGGGGCCAUAGUAAAUGGAUAAUUACUAUUUUAAACACUAAGAUGAUUCUCAGAUCAGCAAAAUGUUUAUGAUACAAAGAAGAUCUGUGAAGUGCUCCAAGGAAAUCAACUCUAGAGUCAGGUCUCAUUUCCUUCUAGAAUCAGAGACUGUUGGAAAUGGCCACAGGUAUCCUCCAUUACAGGUAACCAUUAGAAGUUUAAGCUCCAUGGUUUUCUUGUGAUAUCUCUUUAGGCAAGCCUCUUAGUUUCUCUAAGUCUCACUAUCUACCUCUACCGUUGUCGAGAGCUUGAGUAAGCUACAGUUGCAUAGCAGUUUGUACUGUACAUUCAACUUUGUAGGCACUCAACAAAUGUCUCCUUCUGUUAGAAUCUGGGGGUCCACUGGAAAAGACCUUGGUACUGAUGGGAGCCUUGAAUCCCACAAAGAGCUUCUCCCACUCUUAUAUGUCCUUAAAAUGUGUGUUUCAAUUAAUCCCUGUAUAUGCCUAUUCCCAAUAUUUAGCAAAAGUUGUCUAAAGAAUGAGUUCCUUUCAUUUAACUUGAGACUGACUACUGGUGGGUGUUGAAGAUGUCUGCUUCAUGGUCUCAGAAAUAGAUUUUAGGAAACUCAUUGUGGUCUGGACUAGGACUAUAUUCAUGUUGAAGGUGGUUCUCUGCCUCUGACCUGGUCUGUUGUAUAAAUGAAAUAGGAACUGGAAAAAUAUGAGUCUUAAAGAAAUUCCUGAGGUCUUUCAUAUACUGUUUUCUUAAUAUUUGUAAUUUUGGCCCUUUUCUUGGAACUUUCUCAACUCUUGGAGAUUAGGCAGUGGGACUGGGGUUACAAGCUGCAAAACUGGAGGAAACCAAACUGAGUAUAUGCAGUAGAUGAGACCUCCUUCUUUGCCCUAAUCAAAUAACUCCUCUGGGUAAAUGCUAUUACCUUGCAAAUAUUAUAUUGGAAGAUAGAUUUUGAAAAAUGAGGAUGCUAUAAGAAUAUGAGCAGUGAAAAUGAACUUUAGGCAUUACAGAAAAAUUAGAGGAAAGAGAAAUAGCUCAACGACUGGG